RNAcentral lists this ribosomal RNA (497 nucleotides) under uncultured bacterium. Its description in RNAcentral is "partial 16S ribosomal RNA". It matches the Rfam family "Bacterial small subunit ribosomal RNA", at positions 28 to 507 of the family's 1533-position model. The record is from RNAcentral.
GAUGAACGCUGGCGGCGUGCCUAAUACAUGCAAGUCGAGCGAACAGACGAGGAGCUUGCUCCUCUGACGUUAGCGGCGGACGGGUGAGUAACACGUGGAUAACCUACCUAUAAGACUGGGAUAACUUCGGGAAACCGGAGCUAAUACCGGAUAAUAUAUUGAACCGCAUGGUUCAAUAGUGAAAGACGGUUUUGCUGUCACUUAUAGAUGUAUCCGCGCCGCAUUAGCUAGUUGGUAAGGUAACGGCUUACCAAGGCAACGAUGCGUAGCCGACCUGAGAGGGUGAUCGGCCACACUGGAACUGAGACACGGUCCAGACUCCUACGGGAGGCAGCAGUAGGGAAUCUUCCGCAAUGGGCGAAAGCCUGACGGAGCAACGCCGCGUGGGUGAUGAAGGUCUUCGGAUCGUAAAACUCUGUUAUUAGGGAAGAACAAAUGUGUAAGUAACUAUGCACGUCUUGACGGUACCUAAUCAGAAAGCCACGGCUAACUACGUG